This 73-nucleotide transfer RNA is filed under the name Stegodyphus mimosarum. It matches the Rfam family "tRNA". Rfam says of the family: Transfer RNA (tRNA) molecules are approximately 80 nucleotides in length. Lineage: Eukaryota; Metazoa; Arthropoda; Arachnida; Araneae; Eresidae. The record is from Rfam by way of RNAcentral.
GCCUUCGUGGUGUAGUGGUCAGCACGAUGGGCGCAUAUUCCAGAGGUCCGUGGUUCGAGUCCCGGCGAAGGCG